This 253-nucleotide ribosomal RNA is filed under the name uncultured bacterium. RNAcentral's name for it is "partial 16S ribosomal RNA". It matches the Rfam family "Bacterial small subunit ribosomal RNA", at positions 524 to 776 of the family's 1533-position model. The record is from RNAcentral.
CACGUAGGGUGCAAGCGUUGUCCGGAAUUAUUGGGCGUAAAGGGCUCGUAGGCGGUCCGUCACGUCGGGAGUGAAAACUCGGGGCUCAACCCCGAGCCUGCUUUCGAUACGGGCGGACUAGAGGUAGGUAGGGGAGAACGGAAUUCCGGGUGUAGUGGUGGAAUGCGUAGAGAUCCGGAGGAACACCAGCGGCGAAGGCGGCGUCCUGGACUGGUACUGACGCUCAGGAGCGAAAGCGUGGGGAGCGAUCCGG